RNAcentral lists this ribosomal RNA (444 nucleotides) under uncultured bacterium. Its description in RNAcentral is "bacterial SSU rRNA". It matches the Rfam family "Bacterial small subunit ribosomal RNA", at positions 335 to 795 of the family's 1533-position model. The record is from RNAcentral.
ACUCCUACGGGAGGCAGCAGCAGGGAAUAUUGCACAAUGGACGGAAGUCUGAUGCAGCGACGCCGCGUGGACGAAGAAGGCCUUCGGGUUGUAAAGUCCUUUUCAGGGGGAAGAGAGAGGACGGUACCCUUGGAAUAAGCGUCGGCUAACUACGUGCCAGCAGCCGCGGUAAGACGUAGGACGCGAGCGUUAUCCGGAUUUACUGGGCGCAAAGCGUCUGUAGGCGGGACAGUAAGUUGGGCGUGAAAGCUUCGGGCUUAACCCGGAGAGGACGUACAAGACUGCUGAACUAGAGGCCACCAGAGGGGCGUGGAAUUUCCGGUGUAGCGGUAAAAUGCGCAGAUAUCGGAAGGAACACCAGUGGCGAAGGCGGCGCCCUGGGGUGGGCCUGACGCUAAGAGACGAAAGCUAGGGGAGCGAACAGGAUUAGAUACCCUGGUAGUC